Molecule: non-coding RNA, 72 nt
Organism: Henosepilachna vigintioctopunctata
Lineage: Eukaryota; Metazoa; Arthropoda; Insecta; Coleoptera; Coccinellidae
Source: the annotation of a GenBank genome assembly
CCUUUCAUGGUUUAAUCGGGAAAACACCCGACUAUGGUGCGGUUGGAUCCGGUUCGAGCUCCGGUGAAGGCA